CGGAAACGGAGCAAGCGGCGGACGGGGGAGAAAGGCAAAGGAACCUCCCUAUUAGGGGGGGACAACAUUCCAAAAGGAAUGCUAAUACCGCAUACCCCCUACGGGGGAAAGCAGGGGAUCUUCGGACCUUGCGCUAAUAGAUGACCCUAAGUCAAAUUAGCUAGUUGGGGGGGUAAAGGCCUACCAAGGCGACAAUCUGUAGCGGGUCUGAAAGGAUGAUCCGCCACACUGGGACUGAAACACGGCCCAAACUCCUACGGGAGGCAGCAGUGGGAAAUUUUGGACAAUGGGCGAAAGCCUGAUCCACCCAUGCCGCGUGUGUGAAGAAGGCCUUUUGGUUGUAAAGCACUUUAAGCGAGGAGGAGG
This 366-nucleotide ribosomal RNA is filed under the name uncultured bacterium. Its description in RNAcentral is "partial 16S ribosomal RNA". It matches the Rfam family "Bacterial small subunit ribosomal RNA", at positions 81 to 450 of the family's 1533-position model. The record is from RNAcentral.